UACGUAGGGUGCGAGCGUUGUCCGGAUUUAUUGGGCGUAAAGAGCGUGUAGGCGGCCAGACAGGUCCGUUGUGAAAACUCGAGGCUCAACCUCGAGACGUCGACGGAAACCGUCUGGCUAGAGUCCGGAAGAGGAGUGUGGAAUUCCUGGUGUAGCGGUGAAAUGCGCAGAUAUCAGGAAGAACACCUAUGGCGAAGGCAGCACUCUGGGACGGUACUGACGCUGAGACGCGAAAGCGUGGGGAGCGAACAGG
RNAcentral lists this ribosomal RNA (253 nucleotides) under uncultured bacterium. RNAcentral describes it as "partial 16S ribosomal RNA". It matches the Rfam family "Bacterial small subunit ribosomal RNA", at positions 524 to 776 of the family's 1533-position model. The record is from RNAcentral.